AACAAUGAGUGCUUGCACUCAGCGUUUUAAGUGUGAGUGGCGAACGGGUGAGUAACACGUGGGCAAUCUGCCCAAAAGUGGGGGAUAACACUUGGAAACAGGUGCUAAUACCGCAUCAACCGGCUGACCGCAUGGUCGGCCGGGCAAAGACGGCGUCAGCUGUCGCUUUUGGAUGAGCCCGCGGCGUAUUAACUAGUUGGUAAGGUAACGGCUUACCAAGGUGAUGAUACGUAGCCGAACUGAGAGGUUGAUCGGCCACAUUGGGACUGAGACACGGCCCAAACUCCUACGGGAGGCAGCAGUAGGGAAUCUUCCACAAUGGACGCAAGUCUGAUGGAGCAACGCCGCGUGUAUGAAGAAGGUCUUCGGAUCGUAAAAUACUGUUGUCAGAGAAGAACACGUGAUAGAGUAACUGCUAUGGCGCUGACGGUAUCUGACCAGCAAGUCACGGCUAACUACGUGCCAGCAGCCGCGGUAAUACGUAGGUGGCAAGCGUUGUCCGGAUUUAUUGGGCGUAAAGGGAACGCAGGCGGUCUUUUAAGUCUGAUGUGAAAGCCUUCGGCUUAACCGGAGAAGUGCAUUGGAAACUGGAAGACUUGAGUGCAGAAGAGGAGAGUGGAACUCCAUGUGUAGCGGUGAAAUGCGUAGAUAUAUGGAAGAACACCAGUGGCGAAAGCGGCUCUCUGGUCUGUAACUGACGCUGAGGUUCGA
This 711-nucleotide ribosomal RNA is filed under the name Ligilactobacillus acidipiscis. RNAcentral describes it as "bacterial SSU rRNA". It matches the Rfam family "Bacterial small subunit ribosomal RNA", at positions 68 to 756 of the family's 1533-position model. Lineage: Bacteria; Bacillati; Bacillota; Bacilli; Lactobacillales; Lactobacillaceae. The record is from RNAcentral.